Astatotilapia calliptera (eastern happy) is the source of this 541-nucleotide long non-coding RNA. Lineage: Eukaryota; Metazoa; Chordata; Actinopteri; Cichliformes; Cichlidae. The record is from Ensembl.
AUGCAGCUCAAAAUAAACUUAAGGCACCGACAAAUGCAAAACACUGGGCGCGAAUAACGUUACAGGUGUAUCAAUUCUUGUGAAGGGCAUGGCUGCAGGAAACAAGUCCGUUUCUGAGUUACUCAGAGAACUUGCUAACCGCUUAGAUUGAACGUCUUCACCUCAGUCUGCGUAUUGCAGCAGUGUACUGGAGAUGAAGUGGUCCCUGGUCCAAGUUCUCAUCACAACCGCACAGUGUUAACGUUAGCAAAUGCUAACGCUAUCACAGCUAGCUCCACUCCACGAAACGCUGUUCAGGACUCCAACUUCAGUUUUGGUUUGGUCUCACCGUUGUAGGUCAUAACACAAACAAGUCGUCAAGUCAAGCAGCUGAGGAAAGGGCUUAAGGAAACCAUGGUAUGGCCGCUUCUGACAGAAAGAUCAGACAUCAUUCCUCCUUUCUUACCAAGGGAAUCAGAGACUGCUCCCUGUUGUGAGACUACAAGAUAAGUAAAGCUAUAAAAUGACUGUGGCCUGCCACAGAAGAUGAAGAUGAGGAAGA